RNAcentral lists this non-coding RNA (28 nucleotides) under unclassified sequences. Its description in RNAcentral is "L19-Flavobacteria ribosomal protein leader". It matches the Rfam family "L19-Flavobacteria ribosomal protein leader". The record is from RNAcentral.
CAACCUCUGACGAUAGUCGUGCAUGUUG